This 63-nucleotide transfer RNA is filed under the name Longitarsus ballotae. RNAcentral's name for it is "tRNA-His". Lineage: Eukaryota; Metazoa; Arthropoda; Insecta; Coleoptera; Chrysomelidae. The record is from RNAcentral.
AUCUAAAUAGUUUAAGAAAAAUAUUGAUUUGUGGUGUCAAAGAUAUAAAGAGUAUUUUAGAUU